UAUUGCUUGUUUCCACAGUAAUAUGCUAAAAUUGGAGUGAUACAGGGAAGAUUAGAAUGAUCCCUGCACAAGGAUGACAUGCAAAGUCAUGAAGCAUUCCAUUAAAAA
Small nuclear RNA from Ochotona curzoniae (black-lipped pika), 108 nucleotides. The record is from RefSeq and is a predicted model, not a curated record. NCBI's taxonomy places the organism in Eukaryota, Metazoa, Chordata, Mammalia, Lagomorpha, Ochotonidae.